GACGAACGCUGGCGGCGUGCUUAACACAUGCAAGUCGAACGAUGAUGCGGGGCUUUUGUUCCGUGGAUUAGUGGCGAACGGGUGAGUAACACGUGAGUAACCUGCCCCUGACUUUGGGAUAAGCUUGGGAAACUGGGUCUAAUACUGGAUAUUCAACUUCUGGCGCAUGUUGGUUGUUGGAAAGGGUUUUCUGGUUGGGGAUGGGCUCGCGGCCUAUCAGCUUGUUGGUGGGGUGAUGGCCUACCAAGGCUUCGACGGGUAGCCGGCCUGAGAGGGUGACCGGCCACACUGGGACUGAGAUACGGCCCAGACUCCUACGGGAGGCAGCAGUGGGGAAUAUUGCACAAUGGGGGAAACCUUGAUGCAGCGACGCCGCGUGGGGGAUGACGGCCUUCGGGUUGUAAACCUCUUUCGGUAGGGAAGAAUUUGACUGUACCUGCAGAAGAAGCGCCGGCUAACUACGUGCCAGCAGCCGCGGUAAUACGUAGGGCGCAAGCGUUGUCCGGAAUUAUUGGGCGUAAAGAGCUCGUAGGCGGUUGGUCGCGUCUGCUGUGAAAACUGGGGGCUUAACUCCUGGCUUGCAGUGGGUACGGGCUGGCUAGAGUGCGGUAGGGGAGAUUGGAAUUCCUGGUGUAGCGGUGGAAUGCGCAGAUAUCAGGAGGAACACCGGUGGCGAAGGCGGGUCUCUGGGCCGUUACUGACGCUGAGGAGCGAAAGCAUGGGGAGCGAACAGGAUUAGAUACCCUGGUAGUCCAUGCCGUAAACGUUGGGCACUAGGUGUGGGGA
This 786-nucleotide ribosomal RNA is filed under the name uncultured bacterium. RNAcentral's name for it is "bacterial SSU rRNA". It matches the Rfam family "Bacterial small subunit ribosomal RNA", at positions 28 to 828 of the family's 1533-position model. The record is from RNAcentral.